UGUAUGUUGCCAGGAAUCCAAAGGAUAUCCUCGUAUCUGCAUUACAUUUUAGAAAUCAUUUCCCAAUUUUUCCAUCAUAUUCAACUUUUGAGCAUUUCUUUGAGGACUUCCUGCAGGGAAAUGUACCAUUUGGAUCCUGGUUUGACCACAUCAAAGGAUGGCUACCCAUGAGACAUUCAGAGAAUUUCUUGCUCCUAACCUAUGAGGAACUUCAUCAGAAUCUUAAGGUCACUGUGGAAAAAGUUUGCCAAUUCUUGGGCAAGGAGCUGAGUGAGGAAGAAAUCAAUUCAGUCAUGGAGAAUGCUUCCUUCCAAGUCAUGAAAAACCACAUUCUAGAAAACAAAGAACUUGUACCAGCAGAAGAUAUGAAAUCUUUAAAAAUUGUUUUGAUGAGAAAAGGUGAGAAGCAAUGGUCUAGGACCACAAGGAAGUUAAAUAGGUGGUUUAUCGUCCUCCAAUCA
This is a long non-coding RNA of Sarcophilus harrisii (Tasmanian devil), 461 nucleotides long. RefSeq lists it as uncharacterized. The record is from RefSeq and is a predicted model, not a curated record. NCBI's taxonomy places the organism in Eukaryota, Metazoa, Chordata, Mammalia, Dasyuromorphia, Dasyuridae. The transcript has 3 exons.